GAUGAACGCUGGCGGCGUGCCUAAUACAUGCAAGUCGAGCGAACAGACGAGGAGCUUGCUCCUCUGACGUUAGCGGCGGACGGGUGAGUAACACGUGGAUAACCUACCUAUAAGACUGGGAUAACUUCGGGAAACCGGAGCUAAUACCGGAUAAUAUAUUGAACCGCAUGGUUCAAUAGUGAAAGACGGUUUUGCUGUCACUUAUAGAUGGAUCCGCGCCGCAUUAGCUAGUUGGUAAGGUAACGGCUUACCAAGGCAACGAUGCGUAGCCGACCUGAGAGGGUGAUCGGCCACACUGGAACUGAGACACGGUCCAGACUCCUACGGGAGGCAGCAGUAGGGAAUCUUCCGCAAUGGGCGAAAGCCUGACGGAGCAACGCCGCGUGAAUGAUGAAGGUCUUCGGAUCGUAAAACUCUGUUAUUAGGGAAGAACAAAUGUGUAAGUAACUAUGCACGUCUCGACGGUACCUAAUCAGAAAGCCACGGCUAACUACGUG
RNAcentral lists this ribosomal RNA (497 nucleotides) under uncultured bacterium. RNAcentral describes it as "partial 16S ribosomal RNA". It matches the Rfam family "Bacterial small subunit ribosomal RNA", at positions 28 to 507 of the family's 1533-position model. The record is from RNAcentral.